AAGUCGAACGCAGUAGCAAUACUGAGUGGCAGACGGGUGAGUAACAUGUGGGAAUCUGCCUUGUGGUUCAGGACAACAUUGGGAAACCGAUGCUAAUACUGGAUAAGCCCUUAUGGGGAAAGUUUUAAUGCCAUAAGAUGAGCCCGCAUUUGAUUAGUUAGUUGGUGAGGUAAUGGCUCACCAAGACAAUGAUCAAUAGCUGAUCUGAGAGGAUGAUCAGCCACACUGGGACUGAGACACGGCCCAGACUCCUACGGGAGGCAGCAGUGGGGAAUCUUGCACAAUGGAGGAAACUCUGAUGCAGCGAUGCCGCGUGAGCGAAGAAGGCCUUUGGGUUGUAAAGCUCUUUUGUAGGGGGAGAUAAUGACUGUACCCUAAGAAUAAGGUCCGGCUAACUUCGUGCCAGCAGCCGCGGUAAUACGAAGGGACCUAGCGUAGUUCGGAAUUACUGGGCGUAAAGCGCGCGUAGGCCGUUGAGUUAGUUAAUUGUGAAAUCCCAAAGCUUAACUUUGGAACUGCAAUUAAAACUGCUCGACUAGAGUUUGAUAGAGGAAAGCGGAAUACAUAGUGUAGAGGUGAAAUUCGUAGAUAUUAUGUAGAACACCAGUUGCGAAGGCGGCUUUCUGGAUCA
RNAcentral lists this ribosomal RNA (631 nucleotides) under uncultured Pelagibacterales bacterium. RNAcentral's name for it is "bacterial SSU rRNA". It matches the Rfam family "Bacterial small subunit ribosomal RNA", at positions 59 to 736 of the family's 1533-position model. The record is from RNAcentral. Lineage: Bacteria; Pseudomonadati; Pseudomonadota; Alphaproteobacteria; Candidatus Pelagibacterales.